RNAcentral lists this long non-coding RNA (3619 nucleotides) under Hordeum vulgare. RNAcentral describes it as "long non-coding RNA (HVUL_LNC001938)". The record is from RNAcentral. Lineage: Eukaryota; Viridiplantae; Streptophyta; Magnoliopsida; Poales; Poaceae.
AUUUCUACGGGCGUUAAUCCAAUGAAAAAUGAUAUGUGCCUUGUGGACAUAUGCACCACAAACUCUAUACUCAGGGAAGUCCAAUGUUUUUCACCCUCGUUGAGAGAAAGGAGAUACUUUAAAAUCGCCAGACGCGAUAAGGUAUUUGUUGGCUCAACUCAAAUCAUAUUUACUAUCCCUGUGGGUACUCGAGUAAUGUCAGGAUGCUUUAUUCCUUCCCGGUUUAACUCGUACCCUACUAAACUAUAGAGAUAUGCGUCAAAACAGUUUUCAUAGAGAAACUUAUGAUGACAAUAAAGAGAAAUGACUUCUCUUUACCAUAUGCAACGGAUAUGGCAAGCACAUUCUCUAUGUAUCAUCUGGAUUGUACUACACAUACUACACAGCCCGUAGCACAUGUUGCGUCCAAGACAGUUCCCCAAAAUGUCUUGUACAUGACAAACUUGGCAUACUCGCCUUGGUCAUCGAGAUAUUGGGUUGAAACCAGAACUAUCGGCAAUUUCAAUAGUUUAUGAUUAUUAUGAUGCUAAAUUCUAACAAUAUUGGAUUUUAUGUGUACUACAAGUGACACAGGGAAGCUAAUUUUAAGGCUCACGCACCUUAAAAUCUACGCUGAACCACCCAGACUCCUUGAACGCAUCAAGUCGAGGUGAGUGGCUCUUCCCAUCCAUUGACUAGACCAUUCAGGUAUUCCAUGGUUUUAAAAGACAUAUCUAAUACGAUUGUCUCAAGUGUGAUUUAUCCACAUGAAACCAUUGGCUCAUUAUCCUGACAUCGAUUUCAAGCAAAUCGAAUGGAUAACAUUGCAGAAUUCUCCUUGAGUGCCUUCUCUAUGAUCCUUGGAUUGAAGGUUAGCAAUUUGUCCUAUUUGUCUAGACUCAAAAUGGUUUGGUAGAAUCUUAUCCAAAGAAUUAAGCUCAUUGCAUGAUCUUUACUUUGGAAUUGCAACUUACCAACUUUACGUUGGAGUCAUGCAGUUUUACACGCUCAUGAGAGAACUGCAUAAUAUUAUUCCCCUCUAUCUUUGAUACGUGGAAAUCUACCAAGUAUUUCCCAUCUGCGAUAAUUCGGUUGCAUACCGAUAUCACCACCCGGCAUACAUCAUUGGCCCCUCAACAUAUAGUUGGGAUCUAUGUGAGGAAUAACUGUAUUACCGUCAAUACCUCAAACCCCUCACAUGGGGAGUUAUUCAAGGCCAGUAUGCUGAUUCAAUGAGGAAUAUUUCCAGGCAUUAGGGGGAGAAUUCAAGUACCAUAAAGAAUGCCAGGAAAUUAGUGGAAUGUUCAACACAUUUCUGCCUGAAAUUCACGUAUUCAAAGAUCUGAACCAUGCGUUCAGAAGAUUUGUAGCUUAUUGAAAAUAACCUGCCAGAUUCAUUUACUCGAUAUAAAGGUGUCACACAAUCCUACGAUCCUUUCAAAAGUACGUCUGAAAGAGUGGAGGUACCAACAAAAACCACUCCACUCCCCAUUCGAUGCAACAUGGGGAGAUGUAUGGAAAAAGUACAUUAGGAUUAAGCUUCUUGCAAGCAAGGAUAUCAAGGCCUAUGAAUCAGUAAAUGCAAGUCAACUUCACAUUGACAGACACCUAAUGGGUGGUAUACCCAGUGGAUGGGAAACCUCCACUAACCCAGGUCAUAGUGCACAUAAUGACUUGGACAUCGGAAUACCCGACUCAAUCGCAUUGGGAAAUCGCGAGCAGUCACCAUGGGUAACGAUAUUUCCAUCAACUAUAUAUUGAUAUAUAGAUUCUGAAGAAACAUAUAAUCGAAAGUCUACAAUUGUCGACAUACAUUUCUCAACUAGAUUGCAAAACCUUGCAAAUGAUUCAGAUCCAAAGACCAUGGCCAUGGCAAAGUGUGAAGAACACUCGGACUGAACUCAAGCAAAGGGUAUAAUCUAGGUAGAAAUGAUCUUGCUCAGUAGUGAGAAGGUAUUCAUAAGAAAUACCUACACCAGUUUUCUUCUGGAAACAGAAUUGAGAACAAUGAGGUGGUGAAACAUAGAGCAAGUAUUGUAGCACAAGGGUUCACGCAGAUACCCAACUAUUCUCCAGAGGUGGAAUAUCUUUCCGAUAAUUUAUAUCAUUGGCAGUACAUAAUCAUCUAUCUUUGCAGUUGAUAGAUGUAGUGAUCACAUAUCCAUGUGGUUCACUAGAUUCAGACAUAUAUGAUUGAUUGCCGAUGAAAUCUCACUUCUGAAUUGAAAUGCAAAAUGCAACAUACAUAGUGUAAAAAUCAGUAAGUCACCAUACGACUUAUUGUUGUCGGUACAUAUGGUACAACCGACGUAGUGAGUUCCUUAUGCAUAAGGAUUACUCCUACAAUGAUGAUUAUCCAUGUUUGUAUGUGUGCAAUGACGACACAUGUAAUCAUCUAAAUGACGGAGUUUAAAAUGAAGGAUUCGGGAAAACCAAAAUACCGCUCGUUGCUACAACUUGAGCACCUUCAUUUAUACACUAUGGUAUACUAUGUUGUCUAUAUCCAUAAUAUAUUAGGGAAAUUCAUUAUGGACAAAUAUUAUCCAUCCAUAGCUCUCAUGGUAGUUCAUUCUCUAGACAUAGACCAAGAGAUGAUGGAAAUGAGAUAUUGGGACUCAACGUUCCAUAAUGCCAUUGGAUCCACCAAACACAAUUGGUUGGUACUCAAGAAUAUCUUUCGAUAUCUGCAAGGCAUCAAACAUCCUGUCCUGGGUUUUCAGUUUCACAGAAAUGUGAGCAACGAUAUUAUUGGAUACAUCGAUCAGAUCCCCACUAUGUCAGAUCGUAGACAAGCUUAGUGUUCAUACUAGGUGUGGUAGCCCUCUCAUGAAGAGUCUUAAAAACAGACCUCAUGGCUACAUCCACCAACCAUUAUAUCAAAGAUAAUGUUGCUUGUGUUGCCCGGAUGCAAACAUGUUACGUAAUAAGCAAUAUCGCUAUAUUGCAUUUCUUGUAAAUCAAAUCAUGUGACUGAUUUGGUCACAGAAUCUCUACCAAGUUUUACAUUCCAGAAACAUGUUCAUGGAAUUGGUAUGUGACGACCGGCUUCGAAAUUUGCAAGAAUCAGGGGGAGUAUCUUCCUGAAUUGUUCCUGUUUAAUGCAUCAUAUUAUACUCUUUUUCCCUCAAUGAGUUUACUAUAUAGGUUCUCAUGAAGGUUUUUAACGAGGUAAUAUCAAACACAAGAUCAUAUAUCAUACUUUCAGUUUUCCCCACCGGGGUUUUUAGGAAAGUAUAUACGCAUAUUUAUUGUUCUCUUGAUUCUAUGAGUUUUCUCGUAUUGAGUUAAAGGAGACAAUAACCAUAUAUGUUGCGACAUUUUCUCCUUAUUUCCCCACUGGGUUUUGAAGGAGUUUUGGCAACAUAUCAAACACUAUACUCCUCAUAUUUUUCCCACAGGGUUUUUGGAGGAGCCUCUAAUCAAGAUGAUGAUUCUGGAUGGACAAGGAUAGAUUAGGGGGAGUGUUAGAGUUUAAUUAACAUGUGUUAAUUAUGGGGUAAUCUCCCCUUGUAACUGUCAUCUCUCCCGAAUAGAUGCCUCUUCAUUGCAUCUCUUCUCCUUGUAUAUAUAUCCAUAUUCAUCUAAUGAAAGAGGAAGAGGAUUCAUUCUAACAGUUCUUACGGUCCUAAGAGCAUCUCCA